RNAcentral lists this non-coding RNA (23 nucleotides) under Arabidopsis thaliana (thale cress). The record is from RNAcentral. Lineage: Eukaryota; Viridiplantae; Streptophyta; Magnoliopsida; Brassicales; Brassicaceae.
AUCAAUUCGAAGGAUUGGCGAGG